AUACGUAGGGGGCAAGCGUUAUCCGGAAUUACUGGGUGUAAAGGGAGCGUAGACGGUGAUGCAAGUCUGAAGUGAAAUGCGGGGGCUCAACCCCUGAACUGCUUUGGAAACUGUAUGACUUGAGUACCGGAGGGGUAAGCGGAAUUCCUAGUAUAGCGGUGAAAUGCGUAGAUAUUCGGAGGAACACCGGUGGCGAAGGCAGGCAUCUGGCCGGAGACUGACGCUGAGGCGCGAAGGCGCGGGGAGCGAACAGGUUUAGAUACCCUGGUAGUCCGCGCAGUAAACGAUGCGCACCAGGUGUCGGGCGGCAGCGCCCGGUACCGGAGCUAACGCGAUGAGUGCGCCGCCUGGGGAGUAUGCCCGCAAGGGUGAAACUAAAAGGAAUUGACGGGG
Molecule: ribosomal RNA, 393 nt
Filed under: uncultured bacterium
Lineage: Bacteria
Description: partial 16S ribosomal RNA
Rfam family: Bacterial small subunit ribosomal RNA
Source: RNAcentral